UGCGUUCCUCUAUAGUCAGGUAAAAGCUCUAAAACUUGAAAUCCUGACACACUUAAGGAAGUCAGCCAAAGCCAUGCAUCAAGUCAGCAUCAGAAUGAAAAAAUAAAAAAAAUUUGAAAUGAGAUACUGUGAGGUUGGAGGCUGUUCAGAAAUGGGUUGCAAGAAUGAAAGGAAAUCUAUGCUACAGAACUGAAGACACAAACUGCUGUGCUCCCCUGAGAAAGGUUGUAAGCUGACUUGACACACUGUAAACAGAGACAAGAGGAAGACUUUUAUGAUAAAGUACAAUAAUCUAGUAUGCCAGAAGCAAAGGAUGAGAAAGGAUAUUUAUUGAAUUUUUUCAAUGAAAACAUGAAUAUCAUGAAAUGUAAGUUUUACAAUGUAAUAAUUAUAUCAGAAAAAAAAUUAAGUAGGUGUAUAGUCUGAAAACUGAAUGCUUAGUAACAUUUCAUUAAUUAUGGAUUUCUUACUAAAGGAUUAUCGAACCUCAACAGACUUCAACUUCAGCAUUUCCUUUAAGGAGGUCAUGGAAUUAUGUUGUGAUGCAGUUAGAUUUAUUUUGCUGAAUUCCUUGGGUUGAAUUGUUAUUAGUACUCAGCAAUACAUAGUGCAUAGGAAAAAAGGAAUGACAACUCUUCUUCCCACCAUUCCAAGUAUAUAACUCUGUAUUUAGUUUACUCAAAAAAAAAAAAAAAAAAAGAGCCCUAAAUUAUUUAGCUUGUAGUACAGCCAAAUUUUCUUGGAUUUCUGUGUUCAAAGUUUCUAAACUUUAAAAUCAUGUGCUAAAUUUCUUGUAGCAGAUGACAAGUGCCCCACAGGGAUGACUUUCAAAUUGCUUGGAAGCAUCUGCAACAAAGUAUUUUUUAAAUAUAGGUAGGGCCACAGUCUGGUAUUUCUUUCUGAAAAGAUGUUGCAGGAGCAAGAAAAAGCAGAGUACUUGAUUAGAACUCUGAAAUUUAUAAUUUCUUGUGAAAGUUUUGCACACAUAAAAGUGAUCAUAUACUCUAUCACGGUUAUUCAAAUCGAAGCCUGAAUACUGCCACAGGAGUAACAGCAGGCUUUUGAUUUGAGAGGAAAUUCUUAUUUUGGCUGAGGAGAAAGAGAAAUGUUGUAAUGUGAUCCAGCUUUGAUUAAGGUCUCAGUGUCAAGUGGUUUUAAUACUGCUAAUGGCCAAGUACCUUCGGUUUGUUAUCUUUCAGUGCACACUGCAGCAUUAAGCGUGAGUUUGCAAACAUCCAGCAAAAGCUCCUGUUGCUAUUGAUACCUAGUGCACUACUCUCAGCAUAUUCCAGCCCACUGAUAGCAGAAGCUAUUUAGCAUGCACUCCUGCCACAGCUAAAAGUCACCUAGCCAUAUAAUACUGCCUACAGCUUAGCUAUCAAUACUUGUGUUUCAUCAGAAAGGCAUUUUUUCUAAUCAUAAUGUUUCCAAGAAAUGCAAAGUUCUGGACUCAACAUUUUACUUAGGUCAGUGUUCUACAAAAUCAAAUACUUUCUCAUUGCCAGCUGGCAAAGUUUCAGGGAUUUCUUCAGAUAUUUCAACAUAACUGUAUUUUAAAAAGAGCAGGCUCUUUUUGCCCCAUCUAGACUUGAACUGCACAACAUAAAGGCACCAAAAAUUACUUGCUCUCUGAUUCCACAUUAAGCCCUUCGGAUUUCUUCUGGAGACUUGGAACUCUUUGGAAGCCAAGGCUUCCACAAUG
This is a long non-coding RNA of Neopelma chrysocephalum (saffron-crested tyrant-manakin), 1702 nucleotides long. RefSeq lists it as uncharacterized. The transcript is spliced from 2 exons. Lineage: Eukaryota; Metazoa; Chordata; Aves; Passeriformes; Pipridae. The record is from RefSeq and is a predicted model, not a curated record.